CAAUAGCGUAUAUUAAAGUUGUUGCGGUUAAAAAGCUCGUAGUUGGAUUUCUGCCGAGGACGACCGGUCCGCCCUCUGGGUGAGUAUCUGGCUCGGCCUGGGCAUCUUCUUGGAGAACGUAGCUGCACUUGACUGUGUGGUGCGGUAUCCAGGACUUUUACUUUGAGGAAAUUAGAGUGUUUCAAGCAGGCUUACGCCUUGAAUACAUUAGCAUGGAAUAAUAAGAUAGGACCUCGGUUCUAUUUUGUUGGUUUCUAGAGCUGAGGUAAUGAUUAAUAGGGAUAGUUGGGGGCAUUCGUAUUUAACUGUCGGAGGUGAAAUUCUUGGAUUUGUUAAAGACGGACUACUGCGAAAGCAUUUGCCAAGGAUGUUUUCAUUG
RNAcentral lists this ribosomal RNA (379 nucleotides) under uncultured eukaryote. RNAcentral's name for it is "partial 18S ribosomal RNA". It matches the Rfam family "Eukaryotic small subunit ribosomal RNA", at positions 592 to 975 of the family's 1831-position model. The record is from RNAcentral.